UUCUUUAUAAGUUAACAUAUUAUUUCUUUUGUCAAACAAAAAAAAAAAAACUCUCUCUCCACAAGAGAAGUUCGCCCUAGCCGCCGUUCAAGCUUUCACCCGAUCUGACCUCUCCGGCCACCGGCGCUUCUCGUCGGAGUCGUGAGAGGGUCAUCCUUUGUCUUUUCCUUCAUGUCUAGUUAAUCACGAGCCUUUUCCAGCCUUUCUCCGGCAGAUAGUUUCGAAGGUUUUGGAUCGGGUCUCAAGUCUGUAUCUUCUCCGAUUUCGGCGAGAUCUUCUCCGAGCAUCGUCUCCUAUUGGUUCGUGAUGGUGAACCGCGAUUUGCCAUGUCUCGUCGAUGGCUGUAUUGAGCGUAAUUUCAGAUCUGGUUUCAUUGGACUUGGUCGCUUGAUGGUGAUAGACGGGUCGUUUGGUUUCUACUGCGGCUGAGAUGUUUUACGGUUCCAUCACUUGAACAGCAGCAAUCUACGUAUCAUAUUCAUAUAUAACCACACACACACUAGUUUACAUUCAAACACAAUCACUUGCGCAUUUGCACAUGAGGCACAACAAUAUGCCAACUAAACCGUACGCCAAAGAAGUAUUCCUAGCUAGAGUCCAUCAUCAAGCAACUAUCCAAUACUCCCAAGUUGUUAACCAUCAAACUAUGGACAUACGCCUCAGCCAAAAGCAGUAUGCCAACAAAACCAUACGCCAAAAAAGUAUUCCUAUUUCCUAGAGUCCAUCAUCAAGUCCAUUGGCACAUCUAAGAACCAUUUGUUUGAUGAACUUUCAGACCGAAAACAUGACGUUGCCUAACCUCCACCUCAAGAUGUUUUAUUGUCGAGUUUGAAAUAUGAUGUGUCUAAGAUUUAGUAAUAGUAGAAAGUAACUAGUACCCAUAGAAUCCAUGUACAGCAAGCUAACCGAUUUCAGAAUUAUAUACAUAGAGAGGACUCACUGAAGUUUUGAAA
Camelina sativa (false flax) is the source of this 953-nucleotide long non-coding RNA. RefSeq lists it as uncharacterized. NCBI's taxonomy places the organism in Eukaryota, Viridiplantae, Streptophyta, Magnoliopsida, Brassicales, Brassicaceae. The record is from RefSeq and is a predicted model, not a curated record.